This is a long non-coding RNA of Temnothorax curvispinosus, 1093 nucleotides long. RefSeq lists it as uncharacterized. The transcript is spliced from 5 exons. NCBI's taxonomy places the organism in Eukaryota, Metazoa, Arthropoda, Insecta, Hymenoptera, Formicidae. The record is from RefSeq and is a predicted model, not a curated record.
GAACGCGGCGGACACGGGACGGAUCGGCUCGAAUCCGGAACGAGGUGGCAUCGCGAUUUAUUUAAUUCGAUACGUUGUGAGUGCUACGAUGAAAUCAAAUAGCAAUGGGAUAGAAGAGAAGAGAAGCCGAGGAGGCAGCCAGGUGCAGCAGGAGGUCAAUAUAACUCCUCUGUUGUGUGAUGCGUAAAAAAGAGGGUUUAGAUGGAAGAACCCGAGGAGGAUGGAAUUAACAACCCGAACAGUCUGAGAUAGUGAAAAUAACACGAAGAGUCGCAUCGAGGGAAUCCAAGCUGACAACCUGCGAGGACCAGCCUAAGAGGAGGAGGAGGCCUGGGAGAGGCAUCGGGCACCAGCGGAACAACUUUGCGAAUCAACGUAGCUACGAUUGCAGAUAUAAUUCCGCUGUUGCGCAUCGGGGUCGGUGAGUGAUAAAUAUACAUAUUUGCGCUUUUUUAUUUCGGGUGAUCGCGGUCAUAUCUGUAGGUAUAUCAGAUAGAGAGAUACGGAUAGGUAGGAAUACGGGUAAAAAUUAGAUAAAAAUCAGCAGAAAAAAAGCAGAAGCGCUUAGUGAUUCUUUAUAACAUAUGAUUGGUCCUUGCUUUUAGUUUCUUGUUGGAUCUAAGCAGCUAUUUAAAUGAUGUUUCUAUUGAAAUAUUUACAAAAUGACAAAUUCCAUUCGGUUUCUGUUGAUAAUCCGCUGUCAGAUUGUAUCGACAGGCUUUGCCGGCAAAAUACAAGUUUAAUGCGGACACAGUAGAUACCGAAUCUGUUGCGAUACUUGAGCAAAUCCGCUGCCAAUCUGUUGUCAUACCGCGGCCGCCGGUUUGUUUCAGAUUAAAUGUUUUUAAUAUUUCCAAAUUGGAUGAAUUUCGCAUUGCAACGAAUGUUUUGUCAAGCGUUGUACAUGACUACAUGAGUGAUAAAUUAAGAAAAACUUGCGGGUUUGCGAGUUCAAGGAAACAACGACUAAACUAUUCAUCAAUUUAUUCGUGUGCAAGUCAGCCACAAAGGAAAGAUGCGCCGAUCGAUUUCAUGAUUCAACGAGGGGACAGAUUUCGAUUUUACAUAUGUAUGAAUCGGAUAAGAGCUACGA